RNAcentral lists this ribosomal RNA (23 nucleotides) under Dioon tomasellii. RNAcentral describes it as "partial 26S rRNA". The record is from RNAcentral. Lineage: Eukaryota; Viridiplantae; Streptophyta; Cycadopsida; Cycadales; Zamiaceae.
GCGACCCCAGGUCAGGCGAGAGC